UGGUGGAGUGAUUUGUCUGGUUAAUUCCGUUAACGAACGAGACCUCAGCCUGCUAAAUAGUUGGAUCAAUUUAUAUCUAAAUUGAUAACUAACUUCUUAGAGGGACCAUUGGUUUUUAGCCAAAGGAAGUAUGAGGCAAUAACA
This 144-nucleotide ribosomal RNA is filed under the name uncultured eukaryote. Its description in RNAcentral is "partial 18S ribosomal RNA". It matches the Rfam family "Eukaryotic small subunit ribosomal RNA", at positions 1299 to 1458 of the family's 1831-position model. The record is from RNAcentral.